UUUAUUGAGAGUUUGAUCCUGGCUCAGGACGAACGCUGGCGGCGUGCCUAACACAUGCAAGUCGAGCGAGGAGAUUCCCUUCGGGGAUGAACCUAGCGGCGGACGGGUGAGUAACACGUGGGCAACCUGCCUGAAA
This 136-nucleotide ribosomal RNA is filed under the name Clostridium beijerinckii. RNAcentral describes it as "partial 16S ribosomal RNA". It matches the Rfam family "Bacterial small subunit ribosomal RNA", at positions 1 to 135 of the family's 1533-position model. Lineage: Bacteria; Bacillati; Bacillota; Clostridia; Eubacteriales; Clostridiaceae. The record is from RNAcentral.